RNAcentral lists this transfer RNA (74 nucleotides) under Ixodes scapularis (black-legged tick). RNAcentral describes it as "tRNA-Thr for anticodon GGU". It matches the Rfam family "tRNA". Rfam says of the family: Transfer RNA (tRNA) molecules are approximately 80 nucleotides in length. Their secondary structure includes four short double-helical elements and three loops (D, anti-codon, and T loops). Lineage: Eukaryota; Metazoa; Arthropoda; Arachnida; Ixodida; Ixodidae. The record is from RNAcentral.
GCCAGGAUGGUCUAAUCGGUUAAGGCGUCGCCCCGGUCAGGCGAAUGUUGCGGGCUCAAUCCCCGCUCCUGGCC